RNAcentral lists this ribosomal RNA (465 nucleotides) under Vreelandella stevensii. RNAcentral's name for it is "partial 16S ribosomal RNA". It matches the Rfam family "Bacterial small subunit ribosomal RNA", at positions 338 to 795 of the family's 1533-position model. The record is from RNAcentral. Lineage: Bacteria; Pseudomonadati; Pseudomonadota; Gammaproteobacteria; Oceanospirillales; Halomonadaceae.
CCUACGGGAGGCAGCAGUGGGGAAUAUUGGACAAUGGGCGAAAGCCUGAUCCAGCCAUGCCGCGUGUGUGAAGAAGGCCUUCGGGUUGUAAAGCACUUUCAGUGGGGAAGAAAGCCUUGGGGCUAAUACCCUCGAGGAAGGACAUCACCCACAGAAGAAGCACCGGCUAACUCCGUGCCAGCAGCCGCGGUAAUACGGAGGGUGCGAGCGUUAAUCGGAAUUACUGGGCGUAAAGCGCGCGUAGGCGGUCUGAUAAGCCGGUUGUGAAAGCCCCGGGCUCAACCUGGGAACGGCAUCCGGAACUGUCAGGCUAGAGUGCAGGAGAGGAAGGUAGAAUUCCCGGUGUAGCGGUGAAAUGCGUAGAGAUCGGGAGGAAUACCAGUGGCGAAGGCGGCCUUCUGGACUGACACUGACGCUGAGGUGCGAAAGCGUGUGUAGCAAACAGGAUUAGAUACCCGGGUAGUC